This 210-nucleotide long non-coding RNA is filed under the name Vitis vinifera (wine grape). Its description in RNAcentral is "long non-coding RNA (VVIN_LNC000190)". The record is from RNAcentral. Lineage: Eukaryota; Viridiplantae; Streptophyta; Magnoliopsida; Vitales; Vitaceae.
UCAACAAAUGUGAUUGCGUGGCAGCUCCUCUGGACAGGGUGUGCACCAUCUCCAGCUCAAUAGGAUUGGUCAAAGCUCUAAAAUUAUGGAAUUGGCUCGGCUCAUAGGGAAUUUGCAAGGUUUCAGCUAUAUGGCGUGCUCCCAAUAUGCCAUGCCUCCCAUCAAUAGUGAAAUGAAUUAAAGUUGGAUCCCUGACCUGGUUGGUUGUCA